Long non-coding RNA from Artibeus jamaicensis (Jamaican fruit-eating bat), 4147 nucleotides. RefSeq lists it as uncharacterized. NCBI's taxonomy places the organism in Eukaryota, Metazoa, Chordata, Mammalia, Chiroptera, Phyllostomidae. The transcript has 4 exons. The record is from RefSeq and is a predicted model, not a curated record.
GAGCUGCCUCUGUCUUCUUCCUCCUCCCACGCUGAGCUCAGCAAAGUUUCCUGAGACUUCUUGAGGUCCCUACAAGCUCUCUGGUGCCUGAUGCUGCUCUUCCAUUUUGUUUUCACAUCAUUCUGGUCUAGAUGGUGGACUUGACCUUCCCAGGUGACAGGAUGAGCAUUAUUUUUAAAAGAUGUUAAGUACAGAAUGAGAGAAGUUAAGUAACUUGCCUAUAAUCAAAUAGCACCAUGUACAUUGUUAGGGCAAAGAAAGUGGAUGGAGUAGGAAUUUGCCUGGUGUGGUGUCACCGAAGCCAAGGAGUUGGAGGGAUGAUCUACAAUCUCAAAAAUUACUCCUUGAAGACCAGCCAAUCAGCAUCCAGAAUCCUGAAUGACACUUUGUUAGAACCCACCCUCUGGAGCACUGGGCACCAGGUGCUAUUCUUUUGAGAUUUCAAACGGAAUUUGUAAUAAGCUUCGCCUGGACACGACUUGUCACACGGAAGAGAUGUGAUUUGUAUAGAGAUAUGAGACGCUUCGUGAGUGCUUCAGAGAGCCAGCUUUUACUCGAUGAGACAUACAUGUUGCACUGGCUUUAUGAAGAGUAAGAUGUGCUGGCUUUUUCUUCACAGGCUGUUAACCAAGAUAACAUUUCUUUGAGGGGAAGGUGGUUUUAGUUUCGGGAAAAGCCAGAAGUCACAGGGCACCAAAUCUGGUCUGCAGUGGGGCUGAGUCACCUGGGUGAUUUGAUGUUUCACCGGAAAACUCUGCAGGAGAUGUGAUGCAUGAGCAGGCACCUUGUUGUGAUGAAGCUGCCAAUCACCAGUUCCCCAGAGCUGCGGCCUUCUGAAUCAUCUGAAUAGUUUCCACAGAGGAAUGUUCAAGCUUAACCCAAAAUUGAUGCAGAUUUGUUGCUGUACUCACUCAUUUUGAAUGUGACGGCCACACAGCACACAUGCUCACUCAAUGGCAUCUACUGAUGCCACUGACUAGUACAGUGAAGUCAGCAUUGUUCAUGCAUGUGCAUUCCAGUCCACUCUCCUUGGCUUCCGGGUUACACUGAUGUCACACAAACUGUUCUUGUUAUAUUAAUAAUGGCUGGACUUUUUCCAGACAGACUAUAUAUCUCCUAACAGGAAACAAAUGCGACACUCAAAUUAGGGUAAUUCAAGGAGAACUAAGAAGGUCUAUUUACUAAGAGGUAAGCUCAUGGAAACCAGAAGGGGUAGUCUGGGAAACUGGGUUUGCAACAGUUGAGCUGUUACCACCCCUGAGGCUGACAGGGUGUGAGCAAGGAGAGCUCACCCAACCAGAGCCGUUAUCAAACCUAUAAGAAGACUUUCCUAGAGCAUGUCUUUGGAGGGAGGGGCCGUGACCUUCAGUGAGGGCAUCAGGACACCUCACGGAGAAGCAGCUGGAGAGACCCCACCCUGACCUUGCUCCUCACUGCCCGUGAGGGCUUCCCGUGGGACAGAGGGCACAGCAGCCCAAAUGAUGUGCUCCGUAUGGAAAAGAGCAGAGGAGGCAAGCGCGUCUCCACCAAACGGAAGACUCAUUUCCUGAGUGGCAUGCUCACCUCACUUCCUGAGUGACAAUACAGUCCAUCAGAUAGAAUUUUGCUUUCUUCAUAACACUCACCCGAGAGCCUUUGCAUUGCAAGAAUGGUAGUUUGGAGCCAGUGGGUGUUUCUAGAAGGACAGGCUUAUUGUGAGAAUUCGGCGCAUCCAGAGGACUGUAUGAGUCCAGAGGGCUUGGUACAGCUGGGGGAGUAUCCUUGCCCAAGUGGGGCAGGGGAAGGUUGAGGUGGGAGUGCAAAAAGGAGGCUGUACGUGACUUCGUGCAGUUGGAGAAAGCACCACGUACUUCACUUCCCAAAUUUUACUGAGGUGGAGACUGAGUCAGAGAGGCUGUGUCUGAGCGCAGGGUCAUGUGCGAGUGACUGCAGAGGCAGAAGUCAAAUCUCGGUCCCUUAACUUGCUGUCCACUCAACUCAUUCCUGCUCGUCGCUUCUUCUCAUUCUCUCAGAAGGUUUACAUGUCGGCGUUUCCGAGUUGUCUUCUCAGACCUUUCUCUGCGGGCUCGUUGCCUGAGAUGAGGUGAUUUUUCAGAAGGAAAUAGGGCACGAAAGUUGUGGUUUGCUGAACUUAACAUCAUCUGAUCUGGAAGAGUCAUGACUGUGGAAGAGGGAGACAUCUGUAAGUGAUGUGUGUGCUUCUGAGAUAAAAACAGAAACUACAAUAACAUCAGGGGAGAAAAAGGACUAUGUUGGAAGAUCCUCUGACUACCUGACAAUUACUGCUGGAAUCCAUGCUCUCUCCCACUGGAGCUGAAAUGUCCUCUAACGAAAUCAUUAUGGCCGUAAAACCUUGGAACUCAUGAAAAUUUAUGAACGGAAAAUAGAGAUGUUGAAGGAAUGACCUGAGGUGGAGACAACAGAGCCUUAGACAAAACUAUAAAUGAUGCAUUAAACUAAGCGCAAUAUGAACUUGAAGUUCCGCCACAUUCCCCACUGAGUUGUGGGCAAAGCCAAUAAACUCCGUCAUAAAUGAGGAUGUAUUUCGGGCACGUGGUUUCCAGCCUGGAGAGGUACAGGUGCUCUCUGUGACUUAGUUACUGCAUGAGACAGAAAUUAGGUCACAGUCAGCUGAUGUGUUCUACCGCUUUCCUUUUUACUUCCACGGAACAUUUUUAUCUGUUUUCUCCUUUUUCAUCUUUCAGAGUAUGCACAGGGAUUUGAAUUCCAAGGUGUCUGGUACUAGAAGGCUGGUGGUAAGAUCGACACAAAGAAUUGAGCUUUGUGCACCGGAAAUCUCACAAUAAACCUCUGUCCUCAUCAUAACAUCACCUGAUCUUUCAAAAGCGUUCCCCACUGAAAUGUGCAGUUAUACGUGGUCAGGAUGGGGAUAGCAUGGCAGACAGUACUCCCUGGAGCUGGCUGCUCAGACUUGUCUAGCCGGAACCUUCCUUUUGUAUCAGCCUCUUGGGGACCACAAUUUCCGUGGAGUUCACUGCCAUGAAAGGAGGCUGUCGUUGCCAAGCCAUGAGACUUUAAAGCAGAUUACUCAGCUAAGCUGCCAUUUUAGGAUUCCGACAUUCAUCUCAUGCUCUGUUACCUGGAGAAAAGGGGAGAAAAGCGAGACAGACGCUCCAUGACAAUAAAGUACGGCAGGCGUUAACGCUGAUGGACAGAAGGAGAGGUUUGGGCUGUGGACUUGCCUGGUGGAGGACAGAUGCCACAACUUUUGGUUGUGCCUUUGCAAAUGGAGAGACAUUGGCUAACUGCUCCCACAGGAGGGGGCUUGAUUACCACCCACUGGCCUCAUUUGGGGGGGGUCACGAUAUAAAAGUGGGUGCUUAGAAGAGUCAGCAGGUCUGAUUAAUAUCCUCGAGGCAGUGCUUAUGAGCCAUUUUUGGCCCAUCGAAUGGCUAAUAAUAAAAUACAGUGGUGCAAUUUGUGUUUUUACUGCAGGCCAAUUAAGAAGGGGGAGAGAGUGGGAAGUAAAGUGACAUGUCCUUGCAAAGCCGAAACAACAGUCAUAGCAGCAGGAGGGGGACAAAGACAGGCGCAAGGGAAGCAGCCAGCCACUUAGAGCAGCUAAAAGGGUCAGGCAUCUCAUGUCUUGUUGCCCACCCCCUGCCAGAAAAUCCCCCUUUCCUGCUGGCUUGUAGGGCACUGGAUAUUUUCAAAGGGGAAUAAUUAUGUGGCAACAUAUGUUCAUCCAGACAGAGAUUGGUGAGUUUCAAACAGAGUGGUAUUUAAAAAAAAAUCGCUGGAAGAGGAAAUGGUGUUUCUCAACAUUCUUAUCGAGUUCUGUAAGGCUUGCAUCCUUGGGUUUUGUGAUUUAGCCUUCCUUCCUUGGUCUAUUUUAAAGCCAGGAGAAAGAAGGCUUAGAACAAACUUUUAUCAUUGUAUUAUUAUUUUCCCCCCAGUGUUCAUUGAGGGUAGGUAUUUGAGUGUGGGUUUAAAACAAUGUGCCCUUUCUGCAGUGCUGGGGUGCACUAAUCACUCUAGGAAAUUCUCUUGGCAUUUCCUGACCAGGCUGCUUCUUAAGGUACUGUUAUUUUCUUUGGCUGCCUGGAGACCAGGAAGGAGAGAGAGAUGGAGGAAGGGAGGAGGAAGUAAGUAAGAGAGGGGGAAGUAUGGAAGGGGAGUGAGGGAA